Molecule: small nucleolar RNA, 130 nt
Filed under: Moschus moschiferus (Siberian musk deer)
Lineage: Eukaryota; Metazoa; Chordata; Mammalia; Artiodactyla; Moschidae
Description: Small nucleolar RNA SNORA11 (ENSMMSG00000023602.1)
Rfam family: Small nucleolar RNA SNORA11
About the family: U107 (SNORA11) is a member of the H/ACA class of snoRNAs that guide the sites of modification of uridines to pseudouridines. This snoRNA was identified by RT-PCR from blood cells and its expression confirmed by Northern blot analysis.
Source: Rfam by way of RNAcentral
GGGGUAUGUUCACAGCCGGGGGCCUGAAGAAAUGGCUCGUCUCUACAACACACCCAAUGGGAAUUUGGGUUCUUUGUGAAGAGGGGUACAAAACUCGUGUGGCCUUGCUAUGAACAAAUACCCAACACAU